GGCCUAGAUGAAAGAGGAGAUGUGAUUUCAAUCCAAUGCAUUUUGUAGAUUUUCUGCGUAGAAUUGAUGCUUCUAAAUGUAUAAAGAUAAAUCUAUUCAGACUGAAUAUUGCAUUCAUUUCCUGUAUUUUACUUUUAAAAUCAUUCAGUUAUAUGCAGCAGAAUAUUAUUAGCUGCCACCAAGCUCCCUGCUGACUCAUCUAGCAGCAGCCUGUGCCCGUCUCCAGGGGUUACUGAGGAGGCCAGUCAUUCUUUCAGAGGAGGCAGAAGGGGUGGUUUUCCUCAGAUGUGUAACAAGAGUCUCUCCUUCUUUCCCUUUUCUCAACAGGACGAUCGCAAACCUGAUACCUCCAAGGUUCCAAGCCCAUUCCAUGAGUCAAGCAUCUGGACGGUGUUGCUGAUCCCCAUCCUGGGAGCCUUGGUUCUGGGCUUGAUGUAUCGCUACUACAUAAUGGAUGGCAAGUCCUCCUGACUUGAGUCUGUAGGAAUUAGCUGCACCCACACCAUUCCAUUGACAGCUGUAGUUGUUUUCUGACUUCUGAUGGCUUCCAGGCAUCUUUCACUUUUAUCCGUCAGUUUAGUGCCUCUGCGACCUGCAAAGCCAAGCAGGGAUCUGGGAAGACCACCAUCUUUGCUGUAAACUCCAGA
RNAcentral lists this long non-coding RNA (647 nucleotides) under Pseudonaja textilis. Its description in RNAcentral is "lncRNA (ENSPTXG00000011064.1)". Lineage: Eukaryota; Metazoa; Chordata; Lepidosauria; Squamata; Elapidae. The record is from RNAcentral.